CCAGAUCCAGCAUAAAACCCGGCCGCCACAUGUGACUUCCCAUCCCCUCGUUUCGAUCCCCGUACCCUAACUCCUACAUUCAAAGCUCCAUCAAAACUAGAAACAUCAAUCUCCAUAAUUACUUUCACCUUCAUCAUCAUCUUAUUUCUAGAUGCUUCACGGAAGCCAUGAACAAAUCCGUACGCAAAUCCGAGCUUGUUUCACCAAGUAGAAUCCAUCAUUCAUCUUCUCCAAAUCAACGGAUUUAUAUCGAAGCCUAGGUCCUUGGCAUGUUGCGAUGGAAUCGGGACGACUAGGCCGAUGAAUGUGUUCACAAGACUCAGUUUGAUAAGAUAAGUAAGAGGCAUGAGAAAACAUACCAAAUCGUGACUCCGACGCGGUUGCUCCGCCGAGGAUAAUGAACUGAAAAGGAUGGGCUUGAAUCAGGUGAUAACUCCUCUUCUCUUUGUCGCGCCUAAACUCCGCCGCUUUGUCUUCCCCAAGGCUUCACACGAUGUGCUUCAACGGAUGCUUCCCGGAUCACCGGGGCCGGUCGUGGUGUAGUAAUAUCGGUGCGCCCAAACUCUGAAGCUAAAUCCAAUUCGGAGCUAAAAUGCACUCGUCGACGCGUAUGGAUUCCGGAAUCGUUCGCUCAUUAUCAAAACUCCAUGGUUCGGCCAAGAUUUGCAAAGCUCUGAGCCUCGGUUUGAAACUCUGAUUGCGAACAGGGUAUUUACAACAAAAAAUGAUAGUUGUGGUGAUGCCUCAAGGGCUGCAACUGCCUGGGUCUGAGCAAUAACAUUUCCGCCUUUCUCUAAUCAGUUAAUCCAUAUCUAAACUAGUUAAUUAAGAUGAACCUCGACAAGGUACUCCAAAAUAAAGGGGACUUUCUACUGAAGCGCGGAUCCAUCGAAGGCACCUUCGUCAUCAGCGUCGUCAUGUUUUAAACUUCCUUUUGUUUCUUCUUUCUUUUUGAAACCGUCUAGCAGCAAGCCUUGAGUAGCGUGGGAUUGGACUGUGAUGAAGUGCCUUAAUCCAUACUCCAAUUAUCUCCAA
Long non-coding RNA from Lathyrus oleraceus (garden pea), 1035 nucleotides. RefSeq lists it as uncharacterized. The transcript is spliced from 2 exons. The record is from RefSeq and is a predicted model, not a curated record. Lineage: Eukaryota; Viridiplantae; Streptophyta; Magnoliopsida; Fabales; Fabaceae.